RNAcentral lists this ribosomal RNA (492 nucleotides) under uncultured bacterium. RNAcentral's name for it is "partial 16S ribosomal RNA". It matches the Rfam family "Bacterial small subunit ribosomal RNA", at positions 29 to 507 of the family's 1533-position model. The record is from RNAcentral.
AGUGAACGCUGGCGGUAGGCCUAACACAUGCAAGUCGAACGGCAGCACAUUAUUAGCUUGCUCUUACGGGUGGCGAGUGGCGGACGGGUGCGGUAUACAUCGGAAUCUACUUUUUCGUGGGUGCUUACGUAGGGAAACUUACGCUAAUACCGCAUACGACCUACGGGUGAAAGCAGGUGAUCUUCGGACCUUGCGCGAUUGAAUGAGCCGAUGUCGGAUGAGAUAGUUGGCGGGGGAAAGGCCCAACAAGGCGACGAUCCGUAGCUGGUCUGCGAGGAUGAUCAGAGACAGUGGAAGUGAGACACGGACCAGACUACGACGGGAGGCAGCAGUGGGGAAUAUUGGACAAUGGGCGAAAGGAUGAUCCAGCAAUACGGGGGGGGUGAAGAAGGCAUUGGGGUGGGAAAGCCGAUUUGUUGGGAAAGAAAAGCAGCAGGUUAAGAAGAAGAAGUAAUGACGGUAACCAAAGAAUAAGCACCGGCUAACUUCGUG